UCAUGAACCCAUUUGACAGAUGAAGAAAUUGAGGAUCAGAAGUUAAAACUCAGCCAAGUCAUAAAUAUGAAAAAUAAGAUCUAAUUAUCUCUGCUAGUUACCUUUACAUCAUAAACACAUUUUUUCUUUUUUUUAUGUCUCUCUUCCUCUAAUUUUUCAUAUUUUCUCUUCCACUUUUACUGAGAUACAGUUGACAUACAGCACUGUAUAAGUUUAAGGUGCUUCGAUGUAAUAUAUCAUGAAAUAAUGACACAAUUAGUGAACAUCCAUCGUCUCAUAUAGAUAAAAAUUAAAGGAAUAAAAAAAAUUUUGUGAUGAGAACUCAUAGGAUUUAUUUACUCUCCUAUCAACUGUCAUGUAGAAUAUAUCACAGUUGUUAAUUCAUCACGGUGUAUAUUGCAUCCCUGGUAGCUAUUUCUCUUAAAACUGGAAGUUUGUACCUUUUGACCACCUUCAUUUAAAUCUUCCUUCCCUGUCCAACACACUGUUUUCCUGUUUUAGUUCUAGGUCUCUGAAAAUAUGAAUCCCAGAGAGAAUGUUUUGUGGCCUUGGUAGUUGUUAAUAGCCCGCCUGGUCAUUUUCACAUGAGUGGAGAUGGGCUUUUAUUCUUUCAUUACUUAAGUCAUGCUGUUUCUUGAAUCUGAGACUGUGGUUGGCUCGUACCAGGUUUCUGGUUUUUACACCAUUACCAAAUCUGCCAAAGAUUGGCGUUAAUGAGUUUGACCCAUCAUGGCUUGCUCUUUUACACUGUUGGGAAGAGUGACUGCAAAGUUGCAUUUGGUGAUGGUGGGAUGCAUGAUGGUAUUAUUAAAGCUGAAGUUCUGCAGACCACAGAUUCAGGAGAGAGAAUGGCAUUAAGAUUAAUCUUAGACCUUAAUGUAAAAUUGUCUUAUAACCUGAAAGCUUUUCUUUUCUUCCUUUUUAUUUUAUUUUAUUUUUUUUUGGUGCACAGUCUAAAUUAGGGCGCUGUUAGUAGGGGGAGGGUAAUUGCAUUUUUGGUGGAUAGUGAAUCUCAAUUCUUAUUUAUAAGAAGUCUAUUUGAUUAAGUCCUUAUAGCUUCCUUGCUCAUUCUAUUUGCUUUGCAGUAUAUUAGGGACAGUAAAGUGAUUUUACUUCAAGGGAACCUAAGGUUUUUUAUUCAGAUUAUGUCUCAGUCAUUCACAUAAUUAUCAGCCAUGAUAACACUUUUUUAUCUUUGGAGUUGUGCACAAAUACCAAGCAGAUGCAAUCUGCUUGGCCUCACCUUGCUAAAUGAUUUUAGUGAGGAGAGGAAGUAAGAAGGAGAAGGGUGGUUUUGAUGAAGGAAUCAAAGAAGUGUUGUCGUUGAUCUUGUUUGUACAAUUCAUCAGCUUUAUUCUUUCCAGGAGAGAGAUUAGUUAUACACCUGAAACUAAUAAUAAUAAUAAUAUGUUGUGUCGUCAUCAUCAUCGUCAUCAUACUAUGUCAAUUAUUGCUUCAAUAAAAAUGAUUUUUAAAAGAUAGAUCAAUAGAAUGGGCAUCCAGGUUACCAGGAUAAAAGUACCUCUUUAUUUUUAUUUUUUGUCUUUUUAGGACCGUACCCGUGGUGUAUGGAGGUUCCCAGGCUAGGGGUCAUUGGAGCUGCAGGUGCAGGCCUACACCACAGCCACAGCAACGCAGAAUCCAAGCCGUGCCUGUGACCUGUACCACAGCUCAUGGCAAUGCCGGAUCCUUAACCCACUGAGCGAGGCCAGGGAUUAAACAUGCGUCCUCAUGGAUGCUAGUCAGAUUCCUUUCCAGUAAGCCACCACGGGAACUCCAAGGAGAAACUGUUGAUAGACAAAGCACUAUGAUAAAAUGGAAUCAUUGCUGAAUUAGAUCAAGCAUGGAAGGCAAAUGGAACCACCUAUAGGGGCAGAUGAGAGAUGAGAGAAAGGCUCUUAGAGGAAGUGGCAUCUAUUUAUGCCUGAGUUAUGUGGGACAGGUAAGACCUCUGAGGAGAAAUGGGGCAGAGAGUUCAGUGGUCUAUGCAAAGGCUUCAGGGUGGGUGAAAAUAUAGUAUUGUAUAUUAUUAAUCAUUUCUUGAUGGUAGAAUGAAAGUCGGGCUGCACGAGGUGCACCCAGAAGGCCAGGCAGUGCCAGCAUUAAGAAAGACCUUCUGGAGUUUCCAUUGUGGUUCAGCAGGUUAACAAACCGACUAGUACCCGUGAGGAUGUGGGUUCAAUCCCUGACCUUGCUCAGUGUAUUAAGGAGCUGGCAUUGCCUCAAGCUGUAGUGCAGGUCACAGAUAUGGCUCGGAUCUGGUGUGGCUGUGGCAUAAGCCUGCAGCUGUAGCUCUGAUUUGACCCCUAGUCUGGGAACUUCCAUAUGCCCGGGGACCUUCUGAGUAACUCUGCACAUUUCAUCUUGACUUUCUGGGCCUUAGGAAGCGAAGAUCUGGGAUACGCAUCUGGGAAGCCUGCAGUAAGCAUCUCCAUCCAUUUUGAGAUGUCUCCCAUUGUCAAAAAUAGUAAAAUGAGAGUGAGGGAGGCUAUCUGAGAAUUGAAAAAGCUUUGAAAGCUUGCAUUUUACAAGAAUGAGUUUGCCUUCAGUAUAGAUAGGUUUGGGAGAGCAAGUACAAAGACGGGAGAGAGCCCCCAGAAGGCCUUUGCAGGAGUCAAUUUGAGGCUCUCUUGUGUGGGCCAGUGAGUCUUGAGUGGGAUGAAGAAAAAGAAAACACAGAGCAGAUUUGGUUGGUGGAGGUGGUGGAGGUGACAGCAAAGCGGCCUUCGUAGUGGUUGGCCUUACUUCCUAGGAGGAUUGCGGUAAUGGUCACGGAGGGAAAAACCAUGGGAAGAGGCUUUGGUGCUGAAGAAGCUGGCAGAUCAUGGUUAUCCAGGGUCCCAGGGAGAAACCUGGGAGAGGAGAAGGAUUUGAGAAGGAAGGUGGGCACGUGGAGCCAGUGGACCACACCAGAAGAGACCUAGAACUGAGUGACCUUGGCAGCAGAGCCAUGUUGAGGGCCCAGGGAGGUGUGGAACGUGAAUACAAGGACACCACAAGUGGAGACAACACUUUGCAGAAGCUUGUGUAGAGGAAGAUAGCAAAGGGGAUUGAGAGAUGAAUUUCCUAGUUUUGUUUUGUAACAGAGAUUUCAAGGUCUCAGCAGAAUCUUCUACGUAAACCUUCUUUAACAUUUUUGUUUUAGAACUUUCCAUGUCUUUCUAACAGGCAGUUAGCAGCCCAUUGUGGGCUUUGGGAAGGAAACAGAACAGGCACGUGGAGGCACUGCCAGCUGGGUUAUACGUGACAGCAAUUGAAGACCCACAAGCAAAAAUAACGGCCUUGUCUCGGUGGUCUCUGGCUUUGGGGGUAAAUAGCCCCACACAGUUGAAAAGGCUCCGAGGCUGCUGUGGGUAUAAAGUACGCAAUGAUUAUUGAAAGUCUGUGUCUGACAAAGAUUUCCAUCAAACUGUGAAGGCAAAACAAGUUGUGGUGCCAAAGUGGUCAAGUGGUUUUCUAGAAAAUUCACCGAAUGGCAGUAGCAUGGCCCACAAUACAGCCAUAAGAAAUACAGUCCAUUUAAAAUGUUUCUGCCCUCUUCUUGGACACCGUGUAAUUGUAUCCUUUUUAUGAAUGUCCUCCUCACCCCUGAAUUUGUGUGUGCUUUCCUAAUGGAACAUAUCUUUACACUCAGGAACCACGUUAAUUUAUGGUGUAUUUUGCUGUUCCAAGAAGUGAAAAAUGGGAGGGUAAUACGACUUCUCUUUGUUUUACUCUGAAGAGGUUUUUACCACUGGGUUCUUGACAUCUUCCACCUUAGUUUAUCUUUAAUUUAUCUUUAACUGGAACCAUUUUGUCCAUUAGCUCUAUUCUAAUUACCUCUCAAAAUGGUCAGAUUUACAGGCAACACAUGACAGAGAAAAUGCAAAAAAAAAAAAAAAAAAAA
Molecule: long non-coding RNA, 3886 nt
Filed under: Sus scrofa (pig)
Lineage: Eukaryota; Metazoa; Chordata; Mammalia; Artiodactyla; Suidae
Description: lncRNA (ENSSSCG00050039303.1)
Source: RNAcentral